CCCACACCUAUGUAUGUAGGACCCCAAAAUAUCACCAUUAAAUUUGGCACAGAUCUCUAGAGAAGUUGUCACAUGGGUGUGGGUUUUGACUUUUCUAGAGAUCUGUGCCACAUUUAAUGGUGAUCGUUUGGGGUCCUACACACAUGGGUGUGGG
RNAcentral lists this microRNA precursor (154 nucleotides) under Amborella trichopoda. Its description in RNAcentral is "MIR8565 microRNA precursor family". It matches the Rfam family "MIR8565 microRNA precursor family". Lineage: Eukaryota; Viridiplantae; Streptophyta; Magnoliopsida; Amborellales; Amborellaceae. The record is from Rfam by way of RNAcentral.